UACGUAGGGGGCAAGCGUUGUCCGGAUUUAUUGGGCGUAAAGAGCGUGUAGGCGGCCUGGUAGGUCAGCUGUGAAAACUCGAGGCUCAACCUCGAGACGCCGGUUGAAACCAUCAGGCUAGAGUCCGGAAGAGGAGAGUGGAAUUCCCGGUGUAGCGGUGAAAUGCGCAGAUAUCGGGAAGAACACCCAUGGCGAAAGCAGCUCUCUGGGACGGUACUGACGCUGAGACGCGAAAGCGUGGGGAGCGAACAGG
This 253-nucleotide ribosomal RNA is filed under the name uncultured bacterium. RNAcentral's name for it is "partial 16S ribosomal RNA". It matches the Rfam family "Bacterial small subunit ribosomal RNA", at positions 524 to 776 of the family's 1533-position model. The record is from RNAcentral.